AACGGCCGCGGUAUCUUGACCGUGCAAAGGUAGCGCAAUCACUUGUCUUUUAAAUGAAGACCUGUAUGAAUGGCAUAACGAGGGCUUAACUGUCUCCUUUUUCCUAUCAAUGAAAUUGAUCUCCCCGUGCAGAAGCGGGGAUAAAUACAUAAGACGAGAAGACCCUAUGGAGCUUAAAACGCAAGAACAGAACACGCUCAUUCACAUAAUUAAAAAAAUGAAAUCAACUGUAAACCUGUUCAAAUGUUUUUGGUUGGGGCGACCGCGGAGUAUUAUAAAACCUCCAUGAGGAAUGAAGUUAUUCCUUUUAAUUUAAGGGUGACAACCCUAAAAAACAGAAUUUCUGACCACAUUGAUCCGGCAAUGCCGAUCAACGAACCGAGUUACCCUAGGGAUAACAGCGCAAUCCUCUUUUAGAGUCCAUAUCGACAAGAAGGUUUACGACCUCGAUGUUGGAUCAGGACAUCCUAAU
This 472-nucleotide ribosomal RNA is filed under the name Aphyosemion maculatum. Its description in RNAcentral is "partial 16S ribosomal RNA". It matches the Rfam family "Bacterial large subunit ribosomal RNA", at positions 1926 to 2551 of the family's 2925-position model. Lineage: Eukaryota; Metazoa; Chordata; Actinopteri; Cyprinodontiformes; Nothobranchiidae. The record is from RNAcentral.